Molecule: ribosomal RNA, 317 nt
Filed under: uncultured bacterium
Lineage: Bacteria
Description: bacterial SSU rRNA
Rfam family: Bacterial small subunit ribosomal RNA
Source: RNAcentral
GAUGAACGCUAGCUACAGGCUUAACACAUGCAAGUCGAGGGGCAGCAUGAAAGUUUGCUUGCAAACUUUUGAUGGCGACCGGCGCACGGGUGAGUAACACGUAUCCAACCUGCCUCAUACUCGGGGAUAGCCUUUCGAAAGAAAGAUUAAUACAAGAUGGCAUCAUGAGUCCGCAUGUUCACAUGAUUAAAGGUGUUCCGGUAGACGAUGGGGAUGCGUUCCAUUAGAUAGUAGGCGGGGUAACGGCCCACCUAGUCUUCGAUGGAUAGGGGUUCUGAGAGGAAGGUCCCCCACAUUGGAACUGAGACACGGUCCAA